CCUACGGGAGGCUGCAGUGAGGAAUAUUGGUCAAUGGACGAAAGCCUGAACCAGCCAAGUAGCGUGAAGGAUGACGGCCCUAUGGGUUGUAAACUUCUUUUAUAUGGGAAUAAAGUGUUCCACGUGUGGGACUUUGUAUGUACCUUAUGAAUAAGGAUCGGCUAACUACGUGCCAGCAGCCGCGGUAAUACGGAGGUUCCGUGCGUUAUCCGGAUUUAUUGGGUUUAAAGGGAGCGUAGGUGGAUUGUUAAGUCAGUUGUGAAAGUUUGCGGAUCAACCGUAGAAUUGCAGUUGAAACUGGCGGGCUUGAGUACGGUAGAGGCGGGCGGAAUUCGUGGUGUAGCGGUGAAAUGCUUAGAUAUGACGAAGAACACCGAUUGCGAAGGCAGUUUGCUGGACUGCAACUGACGCUGAGGCGCGAAAGUGUGGGUAUCAAACAGGAUUAGAUACCCGGGUAGUC
Molecule: ribosomal RNA, 460 nt
Filed under: uncultured bacterium
Lineage: Bacteria
Description: partial 16S ribosomal RNA
Rfam family: Bacterial small subunit ribosomal RNA
Source: RNAcentral